CGGGGCGUAGCGCAGCCUGGUAGCGCACCAGCAUGGGGUGCUGGGGGUCGAGUGUUCGAAUCACUUCGCCCCGACCA
This 77-nucleotide transfer RNA is filed under the name Desulfuromonas sp. Its description in RNAcentral is "tRNA-Pro". It matches the Rfam family "tRNA". From Rfam's summary of the family: Transfer RNA (tRNA) molecules are approximately 80 nucleotides in length. Their secondary structure includes four short double-helical elements and three loops (D, anti-codon, and T loops). Further hydrogen bonds mediate the characteristic L-shaped molecular structure. tRNAs have two regions of fundamental functional importance: the anti-codon, which is responsible for specific mRNA codon recognition, and the 3' end, to which the tRNAs corresponding amino acid is attached (by aminoacyl-tRNA synthetases). tRNAs cope with the degeneracy of the genetic code in two manners: having more than one tRNA (with a specific anti-codon) for a particular amino acid; and 'wobble' base-pairing, i.e. permitting non-standard base-pairing at the 3rd anti-codon position. The record is from RNAcentral. RNAcentral also lists the same sequence under 4 other names. Lineage: Bacteria; Pseudomonadati; Thermodesulfobacteriota; Desulfuromonadia; Desulfuromonadales; Desulfuromonadaceae.